UACAGAGGGGGCAAGCGUUGUUCGGAAUUACUGGGCGUAAAGGGCGCGUAGGCGGCCUGUUAAGUCGAACGUGAAAUCCCCGGGCUCAACCCGGGAACUGCGUCCGAUACUGGCAGGCUUGAAUUCGGGAGAGGGAUGCGGAAUUCCAGGUGUAGCGGUGAAAUGCGCAGAUAUCAGGAGGAACACCGGUGGCGAAGGCGGGACUCUGGGCCGAUACUGACGCUGAGGAGCGAAAGCGUGGGGAGCGAACAGG
RNAcentral lists this ribosomal RNA (253 nucleotides) under uncultured bacterium. Its description in RNAcentral is "partial 16S ribosomal RNA". It matches the Rfam family "Bacterial small subunit ribosomal RNA", at positions 524 to 776 of the family's 1533-position model. The record is from RNAcentral.